Molecule: ribosomal RNA, 253 nt
Filed under: uncultured bacterium
Lineage: Bacteria
Description: partial 16S ribosomal RNA
Rfam family: Bacterial small subunit ribosomal RNA
Source: RNAcentral
UCCGUAGGGUCCGAGCGUUGUCCGGAAUUAUUGGGCGUAAAGGGCUCGUAGGCGGUCCGUCACGUCGGGAGUGAAAACUCAGGGCUCAACCCUGAGCGUGCUUCCGAUACGGGCGGACUAGAGGUAUGCAGGGGAGAACGGAAUUCCUGGUGUAGCGGUGGAAUGCGCAGAUAUCAGGAGGAACACCGGUGGCGAAGGCGGUUCUCUGGGCAUUACCUGACGCUGAGGAGCGAAAGCAUGGGGAGCGAACAGG